This 497-nucleotide ribosomal RNA is filed under the name uncultured bacterium. Its description in RNAcentral is "partial 16S ribosomal RNA". It matches the Rfam family "Bacterial small subunit ribosomal RNA", at positions 28 to 507 of the family's 1533-position model. The record is from RNAcentral.
GAUGAACGCUGGCGGCGUGCCUAAUACAUGCAAGUCGAGCGAACGGACGAGAAGCUUGCUUUUCUGAUGUUAGCGGCGGACGGGUGAGUAACACGUGGAUAACCUACCUAUAAGACUGGGAUAACUUCGGGAAACCGGAGCUAAUACCGGAUAAUAUUUUGAACCGCAUGGUUCAAAAGUGAAAGACGGUCUUGCUGUCACUUAUAGAUGGAUCCGCGCUGCAUUAGCUAGUUGGUAAGGUAACGGCUUACCAAGGCAACGAUGCAUAGCCGACCUGAGAGGGUGCUCGCCGACACUGGAGCUGAGACACGGUCCAGCCUCCUCCGGGUGGCAGCAGUCGGCAAUCUGCCGCACUGGGCGAUAGCCUGACGGAGCAACGCCGCGUGAGUGAUGAAGGUCUUCGGAUCGUAAAACUCUGUUAUUAGGGAAGAACAUAUGUGUAAGUAACUGUGCACAUCUUGACGGUACCUAAUCAGAAAGCCACGGCUAACUACGUG